CAAAGACAACAACACUGUUAACAACGGCAACAACAAAUGUUAUAUCACCAGUGACUACAACUUCUACAAAACGAUCACCACUGUCAACAACAGCAUCACAAAUAAUAACUACAAAACAAUCUGAAACUACCAUACUUGUACGGCCGUCGACUUCUUCAAUAUUGAGUCAGACGAUUCCAGCAAUAGGGACGGGGCUUGUUCUGAUUUGCGUCAUUGUCCUGGUUGUCUGCUUCCGUUACAGG
Magallana angulata is the source of this 242-nucleotide long non-coding RNA. RefSeq lists it as uncharacterized. The record is from RefSeq and is a predicted model, not a curated record. The transcript is spliced from 2 exons. NCBI's taxonomy places the organism in Eukaryota, Metazoa, Mollusca, Bivalvia, Ostreida, Ostreidae.